This 504-nucleotide ribosomal RNA is filed under the name uncultured bacterium. RNAcentral describes it as "bacterial SSU rRNA". It matches the Rfam family "Bacterial small subunit ribosomal RNA", at positions 30 to 507 of the family's 1533-position model. The record is from RNAcentral.
CGAACGUUAGCGGCGGGCCUAACACAUGCAAGUCGAACGCGAAAGGUCUUCGGACUGAGUAGAGUGGCGCACGGGUGAGUAACACGUAGGUAAUCUACCCUUUGGCGGGGGAUAACGUUCCGAAAGGAGCCGCUAAUACCGACACUAAGACCACGGAGUCUCCGGACGCUGUGGGAAAAGGUGGCCUCUUCUUGAAAGCUACCACCGAAGGAUGAGCCUGCGUCCCAUCAGCUAGUUGGUAAGGUAAUGGCUUACCAAGGCGAAGACGGGUAGCUGGUUUGAGAGAAUGAUCAGCCACACUGGCACUGGAACACGGGCCAGACUCCUACGGGAGGCAGCAGUGAGGAAUAUUGGGCCAAUGGGCGAAAGCCUGACCCAGCCGCGCCGCGUGAGUGAUGAAGGCCCUCGGGUCGUAAAGCUCUGUGGAGAGGGACGAAAACCCCUGGUUUCAAAUAGGCUCCAGGCUUGACGGUACCUCUUUAGCAAGCACCGGCUAACUCUGUG